CCGAAAUCGAGGUGAUGUUUACGAUCGCUCCGCCGCCGGUCUCGCGCAUCAGCGGCGCUGCCGCCUGGGUGCAAAGGAACGGACCGGUCAGAUUGACCGCCAGAACGCGAUCCCAAUCGGCCUGCGUCGUUUCCAGCAGCGGCUUGAAGAUCGCGAUGCCGGCAUUGUUGACCAGCGCAUCGAGCCGUCCGAAAUGCUGGAUCGCCUGUUUGAAUGCCGCAGCGACCGCGUCGGCAUCCGAUACAUCGCAAUGGAUUG
RNAcentral lists this unclassified non-coding RNA (258 nucleotides) under Hevea brasiliensis (rubber tree). Lineage: Eukaryota; Viridiplantae; Streptophyta; Magnoliopsida; Malpighiales; Euphorbiaceae. The record is from RNAcentral.